RNAcentral lists this transfer RNA (82 nucleotides) under Desmophyllum pertusum. RNAcentral's name for it is "tRNA-Arg". The record is from RNAcentral. Lineage: Eukaryota; Metazoa; Cnidaria; Anthozoa; Scleractinia; Caryophylliidae.
GACGCGGUGGCCUAAUGGUUAGCGCGUUGGACUCCGGAUCGAGAGGUCUGGGUUUCGAGCCCUGACGGGGAUCACUGUGUUG